UUGAAAUUAAGUUUUUACUUUUAUUUUAUUUUUUUAAGUUUUUAUAAUAAGAAUAUUAUUUUUUAUUAUUAGUUAAGAAAAAAUUAUUUUAGUUUUAGUUUAUUAGUACUGUGAAGGAACAAACGGUUAUAAUUAAAAUAAAUAUUAAUUUUUUGUACCUUGUGUAUCAGGGCUUAUUUAAUAGGAAUUUUUUAGAUAAUAUUCCCGAAUUUAAAAGAGCUAUUUUUGUAUAUAUAUUGUUGUUGAAUAAACACUUAUAAUACAAAGAUUGAAGUGAGAUGCUAUUCGUUUUUAAAUAUAUCUGGUUUUUUAAGAAAUAAGUUUAAUUUGUUUAAUAUUAUUCAAUUUAUUAAGUGUUUAAUAGGUUGUUUAUAUUAGGUUAUAUUUUAAGGGAUGAGCUUUAAAAUAAAUUAUUAUAAGUUUUUAAUAAAUUUUUGAUUAGUAGAAUUAGAAGUUUUUUUCUAUAUAAAAAUGUUAUAAUUGUUCAAUUUUUCUUUAUUAUUUAUAUAUUCUUUAAAUUUUAUAUUUAAAUUUGAUUAUUAAUUAUUAAUAGUUAGUAAUUAUGAUAAAAUUAGUAAAUUUUAAUGUAGCUUUUUCAAUUUUCUUAAGGUUAAUUAAAGUAAUUCGGCAAAUAAUUUUUCACCUGUUUAUUAAAAACAUGGCCUAUUGAGAAUGAUUUUAGGUCUGGCCUGCCCACUGAUUUUUUUGAAUGGCCGCGGUAAUUUGACCGUGCUAAGGUAGCAUAAUCAUUAGUUUCUUAAUUGGAAGCUGGCAUGAACGGUAGGAUGAGAGAAUGACUGUCUCUAGUUAAUUUUUAAUUGAAUUUUAUAUUUAAGUAAGAAAGCUUAAAUAUUAUUAAAAGACGAGAAGACCCUGUAGAAUUUUAUAUAGAGUUGUAUUAAUCUUCCUAUAGUAUUUUUAGUUGAUUAAUGGAAUUUAGUAUUUGGUUGGGGUGAUCGAAAAAUUAGAAAAACUUUUUUUUAAUUAUUACAUUCAUUUAUGAAAAAUUGAUCCAUUUUUUGUGAUUAUAAGAUAAAAUUACCUCAGGGAUAACAGCGUAAUCUUUCUUAAGAGUCCCAAUCGAAAGAAGGGUUUGCGACCUCGAUGUUGGAUUAAAAUUAAUUUUUGGUGUAGAGGCUAGAAAAUUGGGUCUGUUCGACCUUUAAAAUUUUAUAUACUUUUGUGUGGAACACGCGGGAGCCAGCCAGGUUUGUUUCUUUAUUAAAAAAAAUAUAUUUUUGUGAAAGGACCACGCAUUUGGUAUAUUUCUCUCCUUUGAAUAUUAUU
Molecule: ribosomal RNA, 1287 nt
Filed under: Massicus raddei
Lineage: Eukaryota; Metazoa; Arthropoda; Insecta; Coleoptera; Cerambycidae
Description: 16S ribosomal RNA
Source: RNAcentral